This is a long non-coding RNA of Athene cunicularia (burrowing owl), 126 nucleotides long. RefSeq lists it as uncharacterized. The transcript is spliced from 3 exons. The record is from RefSeq and is a predicted model, not a curated record. NCBI's taxonomy places the organism in Eukaryota, Metazoa, Chordata, Aves, Strigiformes, Strigidae.
GCAGGACGUUAUAUAAUAUGGAAUAGUUGAUUGGACAGUUUGGGUCCGGUGCUCUGGCUCUGCUCCCUCCCAGCUUCUUGUGCACCUGCACAUGGGCAGGACAUGGGAAGUUAGAUGGCAGCACUA